Molecule: unclassified non-coding RNA, 10339 nt
Filed under: Leishmania donovani
Lineage: Eukaryota; Euglenozoa; Kinetoplastea; Trypanosomatida; Trypanosomatidae
Description: gene:LdHU3.34.1740(CDS-product:ATP-binding_casset te_protein_subfamily_B_member_2_putative)
Source: RNAcentral
CUGCGCACAAGUUCCCUUAGCAUCAACUGAAGCAGCCGAGAAACCGCCCCCCCUCCCCUUCCCUUUCUGUCUGUCUGUCUCACACACCCACACACGAACAUUACAUCUUCACAAAGCCAUUGGAUCUAGCGACGAUCGCGUUCCCCUUACCCCUUCUCGUCUUGUUGGUGCGUACUAGUGCUGCCAUGUUUGCUGGCGCGUAGGUGAUCAUCUCGUUAUCUUGUGCUGUUGCUGCUGCUUCUUGUCUGCGUUUUUUUUUUUGGCUUUUCAUGCUCCCAGCUGCGUGCACAUUCAUGUGCCUUUUGUGCUGCACAGUUGUUCGACCGUCAACCAUCUUUGACUGUUUCCCUCUCUCUUUUUUUUUGCGCCUUCUUUCACUGGAUCUUCGCCUUGGCAAUCGCUACAGCGAAAGACCACCACCACAACAAAAAGCGUGCCACCUCUUCCGCAACACGUGGCGCUGCUCUUCUCCAUCUCCUCUUUGGAUCUCCAGCCUGACGCAGUCGCUUCAAAGGCGUGGGCACAGCCAAAAGCUUUCUUCAUCGUGCCCCUCCGUCUCUCUCUCUUGUGCGCUUCCCUUGCCUUCUCCCUGCCGCACCCUUCCGUUUUCCAGCAUUUUUCUGCAUUCCAUAUUCUUUUCUUCCCCUCCUCCGUCAUCUUACACCAACCACAUAUUUUUUGUUGUAUUUCUUUUUGUCCCUCCCUCUCUCUCUGUGUGAGUGUGUGACAGGUUUACGGCUUUCUGAAGGUGUCUUUUUUGCACUGUAACAAAAAAAAAUCAUACAGAUCGUAGCCCAAGCCCUCCUCCUCCUCCUCCCCCCCGCGACGCACGUGUAGGACGCAUCAGAACAACAAGACGCAAAGCCGCCACAGUUUGAGUUCAGAGGUACGCUAUCAAGAGUCAGGGGAAACAGACAAGCGCUUCGAAAAGUAUCGGGACGAGGGAGAAACGAAGAGGGUUGUGCGCAUCCUUUUUCUUUGCGUUGGCAAGGCGCUUCUCAGCUUGUUUUGCCUUUCUGCAAGCAUUGCAAUUCCGCAUCUCUUCUCCCUUUCUGUCCACCCACACACCCAGCUACACAGACAUAAACACGCUUGACCGACUCAACAGGUCAUAGUGUUGCUCUAGUUUCCGCAUCUCUUCCCCACCCAGCGAGUGGAGUCUCUUUCUUCUUUCUCUGGCUUUCCCUUUUUAUUUUCUGUAACAGCCUAACCCCCCCCCCCCUGCAUUUCCACCUCGGUGCAUCUGUCUGUGGAUUCAUUGCGUCUGCUUUGUGUGCCAUACACGCUCCCUCCACCCCUCCCUCAGCUUCCGUUUUCUCCAUUCCUUCCUAAGUUACGCUCCCUCUCUAUUCAUAGAAGCCGUCGGUAUCGUCGCGUUUUAUUUUUUGUUUGUCGUUGUUUCGUAACGACUGGUAGACGAGAAGCCUUUACCCUACACCCCCUCCACACACACGCGCGCGCGCUGUAUUUGUGUAUGUAUAUAUAUUUUUUCGUUUUGGCUGCCCUUCCUUGUAGCCUUUUCUCCUUCUUUCUGCCAUACCUCGCCUCUCCCCUUGUUUUCCUUUUUCCUUUUUUGUUUUCUACGCCUUUUUUGCUCGUGUCUUUGCUCGCUCGCUCGUUCUCUCUUGCUGGUGUAACAUAGCAAGGUUCCCGCCUGUUGAGCUUCGCCUUGAUUCGUCACUUCUGUGUACUUGUAUUGCGUGUGCAUCAAGGCUUUUCUACCUUUUUUUUUUCCCUGCCGCUUUUGCUUUUCUUCUCCUACGUGCACUACCAGCCGUCCUUCUCAGCUGUGUUGGUGGGGUCGAUUCCAUUUUUUCUUUGUAUGCCGAAGAGGACCGUGUGCACGCUCCUUCUUUGUAUCCUGUUUUGUCGUCCGACCCCUUCUCUCUCGCCCUUUCCUAAUCUCCAUACCGCGCCCUCCUCUCUUCCAUCUCUCGCGCGUCACCAUCACACUCCUCUGCGGCUUUAACGUGGCGCAUUCGUCUUGCGCGCAGCUGUGCACAUAUACAUGUGUGUGCUUAUGUGUAGUAGUUGUCCUUAGUCGAGUUGUAUUGUUUUUCUUCCAUCUCCCCCAUCUCUCUCUCCCGCUUUUUCUUUGCCCUCUUUCGCCUUUUUUGUUGCUUUCUUUGUUGUGGCGCGCUGCACCGGCGACUCUCUUCGCUGAUCACUGCGACUGCUCUUGUUGUUGUUGACCCCCACCCCCUCCCCCUUCAGCCCUUUGUUCUUUCUCGAUAAAAGUACGUACAUUCUAUCUAAUAUUAUAUAUCCUACAUGGCAUAUCUAUAUGUGAUGCAUAGCAUAUACUGCAUGUAGCAUACAUUUGUCUUUACCUUUUUUUUUGCCUUUCAUCGAUUGCAUGAGUUGCCGAAGGCUGAUUUCGCACAGGCACACAGACACCAGCAAUCAAACAGUAGAGAGACCGACCGGAAGCUGUUUCAGUUGUCUUUUUCUUUUUUCCUUUUUGCGCGUAUGCCAGGGGGUGCUACAUCGCCGCCAGCCGCUCACUGAUCCUUCCGCCCGCCUUUCUAUCACCUUCAGCCUAUUUCGACGACCUUGCACACAGGAACACAAGGAGGAUCAAUCUAAGCCGAGAGGCAAGCACGGAAACCAACUUGGCACACAUUUGGGAACGGGUGUGCGUGUUUUGAGUGCGUCAUCGUUUCUGCCUCUUCACCUGUUGGCUCUCCUUCCUCUUCGAUCUUCCUUCUUUUUUUUUGUUGUGUGCGCACCCGAAGCGUUACUUCUCUCGCCUUGUGAGGACAUCCAUUGCGUCGAGACGUUUUACGCUACCUUACCAUCCAAACCCUCACUUGCCUCCUCUUUUACGCACCCCUGAAACAGCCGCCGACCUUCAACUGCACAGAGGUGAGGUCGAUAAGAUCCUCCUUUGACUCACCACGAGGAGACGGCCGGACAAGAGGUGUGCCGCUCCUUCUCUUCCUCUUUGCACGAUACCGCCUCUUCGACGCAGCUCUUGUUGCUGUUGCGUUUUUUUUUCUUCUUCCAUUGCCGCUCCCUCUCUCUGUGGGGAGAGGCACGUGUGCAUCACCUCUCAAUUUCGACCCGAUUCGGCUCUUUGGUGUGUGUGUGUGUGUGUGUGUGUGUGGGGCGCCGUUGUAGGCUCGCUUGUCGCCGUCGUCUCUCUUUGUCGAGCGCGCCCAGCGGAAGCGCGUCGCCCGCACGUCGACUACCCACAGACGAAAGUAACGGACCCGAAGCUCAUUUCACCCAGGCCAGCGUCUUUCCCCUCUUUAUUUCCUCUGCUGACUGGGGCGCACGGAGGAAAAGUACCGACUUUACGCUAAAGACUCCAGUUUUGUAGCUUGCACGCUGUAUACGCCAUGCCCGAGGGCUCUGAAACUGGUGCGAGCGCCAAGGGCGGCUCUGUCUUUGAAUGGGAGGAUAGACAGGGGCCAUUUUCUCCUAACCAACCCAUCGCGGAGGGGCUGGCAGAACGUGGAGACUGUGGCGAUCACAAUGACUAUAGAUGCGGUUCGACAUCGCAGAUGAGGGAGGUGAUCAAUAUGUCGCACACGUAUGACGUGUAUGUGGACGAGGGAAAGCUGGAACCGGUGAAUAGGCUUGCCGGCCAGAGUGAAAGCACGCACGGCGGCAGCAGCUACAGCAGGCACAAUCCUCUGUUCAGCGCCAAGGAGGAGGUUAAGAGGGCGGCGGUGCAUGAAAGUGUGAGCCCUAUAGCGAUUUUUCGCUACGCUGACACAGCUGACCGCGUUCUCAUGAUUGUUGGCACCAUCUUUGCAGUCUGCAGCGGUGCCGGCACGCCUUUGUUCUCUUUUAUAUUUGGCCGUAUCGCAACAGAUCUCAUGUCUGGCGUGGGCAGUGUGGAGCUCAGCGCGGCGAAGACGUCGUUGAUCAUGGUGUACGUCGGUAUUGGCAUGUUUGUGGCCUGUGGUGGCCACGUGCUAUGUUGGACGGUGGCAGCGUCUCGUCAGGAAGGGCGCAUCCGUCUGAACUUCUUUCGCGCUGUGCUGCGCCAGGACAUUGGAUGGCACGACGAGCACAGCCCUGGCGAGCUGACCGCUCGCAUGACGGGCGACACACGUGUGAUUCAGAAUGGCAUUAACGACAAGUUGUCGCAGGGUAUCAUGAACGGCGCCAUGGGUAUCAUCGGCUACAUCGCCGGCUUCGUGUUUUCGUGGGAGCUGACGCUUGUGAUGGUCGGCAUGAUGCCCUUCAUUAUUGUCAUGGCUGCCAUAAUCGGCAACAUCGUGUCCAAGAUGACAGAGUCGUCGCGCAAGCACUUUGCGAAGGCCGGAUCUCUGGCGACUGAGGUGAUGGAGAACAUCCGCACGGUGCAGGUGUUUGGCCGGGAGGACUACGAGUUGCAGCGGUUUGCUGAAGCGGUCCUGUACGCCCAGGACCGUGGUAUCCGCAAAGAGUUUGCGGGCAACCUUUCUGCGGCGGUGAUCAUGGCCCUCGUGUACCUCAGCUACACCAUCGCCUUUUUCUUCGGCUCCUACUUAGUCGAAUGGGGUCGCCGUGAUAUGGCGGAUAUCAUUUCUACCUUUCUAGCCGUGCUGAUGGGUAGCUUUGGCCUCGGGUUCGUGGCACCCAGCGCGACUGCAUUCACCGAGUCCCGUGCUGCCGCGUACGAAAUCUUCAAGGCGAUCGAUCGUGUACCACCGGUGGACAUCGACGCUGGCGGCGUGCCUGUAACGGGCUUUAAGCAGAGCAUCGAGUUCCGCAACGUGCGGUUCUCGUACCCGACUCGCCCAGACAUGAUACUGUUCCGCGACCUGAACCUGACGAUCAAGUGCGGGCAGAAGGUUGCGUUCUCUGGGUCGUCUGGGUGCGGCAAGUCGUCGAUGAUCGGGCUGAUCCAGCGCUUCUACGACCCUGUUGGCGGCGCCGUGCUGUGCGACGGCGUGGACUUGCGCGAGCUGUGCCUGCACGACUGGCGCGACCAGAUCGGGAUCGUGUCGCAGGAGCCGAACCUGUUCGCGGGGACGAUGAUGGAGAACGUGCGCGUGGGAAAACCGAACGCGACGGAGGAGGAGGUGAUCGAGGCCUGCAGACAGGCGAACGUGCACGACACCAUCAUGAGCCUGCCGGACCAGUACAAUACGCCCGUGGGUGCUGUGGGAUCGCAGCUGUCGGGCGGGCAGAAGCAGCGAAUCGCGAUUGCGCGCGCACUUGUGAAGCGGCCGCCGGUCCUGCUGCUGGACGAGGCGACGAGCGCGCUGGACCGGAAGUCUGAGAUGGAGGUACAGCGUUCACUGGACCAGCUGAUGCAGAGGGGCGGGAUGACCGUGAUCGUGAUUGCGCACCGACUCGCGACGAUCCGAAACGUGGAUUGCAUCUACUACGUAAAGUACGACGGCGCGGAGGGGAGCAAGAUUACGGAGAGCGGGACGUUUGACGAGCUGAUGGAGCUCGGUGGAGAGUUCGCUGCGAUGGCGAGGAUUCAGGGCGUGUCUACUGGUGACGCGAGGAGCGGCGCAAGGGGGCAGGACGGUGGCAAGGCAAAUGACUUCCUGAACGCGAUUCUGGACGAGGCGGCUCUUGCGCAACUGGACGAGGAGGCGCCGCGCACGGCGCGUCAGAAGGUGCCGAUCGAGGAGCUCGCGAAGUGGGAAGUGAAUGGUGUGAGCGUUGGCUUCCGGCGGUUGAUGGGAAUGAAUAAAGACAAAUCGUGGGCUGUGGCUCUGGGUAUUCUCGGCUCGGCGGUGGGUGGUGCCGCCCGACCUACGAGCACCAUCUUGAUGGGCUACAUGCUGCGCGUGCUUGGCGAGUACAGUGUUAACAAGAAUGUUGAACAACUACGCAGCGGAACCAACCUGUACGCUCCGCUGUUUAUUGUCUUUGCGGUUGCAAACUUCUUGGGUUGGAUUCUGCACGGCUUUUACGGCUACGCAGGUGAGCACCUGACAACGAAGAUCCGCGUGUUGCUGUUCCGUCAGAUCAUGCGCCAGGACAUGAACUUCUUUGACAUUCCCGGACGUGAUGCGGGCACCCUGGCUGGGAUGCUGUCCGGCGACUGCGAGGCCGUGCAUCAGCUGUGGGGCCCGUCGAUUGGUCUGAAAGUGCAGACGGUAUGCAUUGUUGCUUCUGGAAUUGUGGUGAGCUUCAUCUACCAGUGGAAGCUUGCGCUUGUGGCGCUGGCUUGCAUGCCGUUGCUCAUUGGUUGCAGCCUUGCUGAGCGUAUGAUGAUGAACGGGUAUACAAAGAGCAAGGAGGGUGACACAAGCGACACGAUUGUGACGGAGGCGCUGUCGAGCGUGCGCACGGUGACGUCGUUCAACAUGAAGGCGGAUCGCGUCGAGGCCUUCGAGGCAACCCUGCGAGUAGAGGUGCCGCGUAGUGUAAAAAAGGGCAUCAUUGCCGGCAGCAUCUAUGGCGCCACACAGUUUAUUUAUUACAGCGCCUACGCACUGUGCUUCUGGUAUGGUAGCAAACUGAUUGACAGGGGCGAGGCGCAAUUCACGGAUGUCAUGAUCGCGAGCAUGUCGAUCCUGUUCGGUGCGCAGAACGCCGGUGAAGCUGGUGCGUUCGCGACGAAGCUGGCGGAUGCAGAGCGCUCUGCGAAACGUGUGUUCAGCGUGAUCGACCGCGUGCCUGACGUGGACAUCGAGCAGUCCGGCGACAAGGAUCUGGGUAAGGGCUGUGACGUUGACUUCCGAAAAGUGCAGUUUAUCUAUUCUGCUCGACCGAAGCAGGUUGUGCUUGCGUCCGUGAACCUGCGGUUCGGCGACGGAAUGGCCAACGGGCUGAUGGGGCAGACGGGAUGCGGAAAGUCGACGAUCAUCCAGAUGCUUGCCCGCUUCUACGAUCGGCGCUCUGGGCUGAUCUGCGUGAACGGGAAGGACCUGUCGUCACUGGACAUCGCGGAGUGGCGGCGCAACAUCAGUGUUGUGCUCCAGGAGCCGAAUCUGUUCAGCGGGACUGUGCGGGAGAACAUCCGCUACGCGCGCGAGGACGCGACGGACGAGGAAGUGGAGGAGGCCGCGCGGCUUGCGCACAUCCACUGGGAGAUCAUGAAGUGGCCAGAUGGCUACAACACGGAAGUGGGGUACAAAGGCAGCGCGCUAUCUGGCGGUCAGAAGCAGCGCGUUGCGAUCGCUCGCGGGCUGCUGCGGCGACCGAAACUCCUGCUGCUGGACGAGGCGACGAGCGCGCUCGACAGUGUGACGGAGGCGAAGGUGCAAGAGGGCAUCAACGUGUACCAGGCGAAAUACGGGGUCACGUCGGUGAGCAUUGCGCACCGGUUGACAACGAUCCGCCACUGCGACCAGAUCAUCCUGCUAGACUCUGGGCACAUCAUCGAGCAGGGCAGCCACGAGGAGCUGAUGGCACUUGGCGGGGAGUACAUGAUGCGCUAUGACCUGUACACGAGCGCGAGCUCGUGAGGAAGGCUGGGCGCCGCGCGACUGCACAUGCCCGCGGCGGGGCUUUGCUCGUUACUGACUUUUUUGUGGCUUGUUUCUACCACGGAGGGAUCGUGGUUGCUUUGGGGCGACGCUUUCGUGCGCUCGGCUUCGGUGGCGCAGCUCUUGCAUGGCGCCUUUCGCUUACCAUACGCAUCGCCGAUGUCUUGGGAGCCAUUAGGGGCCACUUGUGUUCCCGGGAUUGGUGACGUCGUGCUUUUCUUUUCUGCCAGAUCUCACCACCGGUCACGCGCUUCACUUGCUGCUGCCGGCUUGCUUCUCUAUAAGUUUUUUUUCUUGCUUCGGCGCACUCGUGGGGCUGCUUGCGGCUCCUACCCAUCCUCUUGUACUGGCCGUGCUGGCUUCGGGAGAGUUUUUUCGCAUAGUUCUGACGCCCUCGGCUUGUGCUGGUGUUUUGUGCAACGAAUAAAAAGAAGGUGUGAGAGGCCUGCGCCUGCCUCGGACGGUUUUGCUUGCUCCCUUUUUCUCUUGUCUGCCGGCCCCCUCCCCACCCCCUCCUCUGGCGUACACGUCUUUGGAAGUUUUCUCUCUCCCCUUCCAGCGGGCCCCUCUGCUUUGAUGAUGUAUCCGUUCGUCUCCUUCUUUCCUUGUCUCCUCUUCCGUUGCAAGAACCUCCACUGACGAGCGAAGAAAAGAGAAGGGGCAUCGCAGAGUAGCGUGGUGGAAGGGAAGAAGCGAUAAAAAAUUGUACACGCGCCCACAAAGGCAAGAGACAAGCUCUAUGCCAGUGCUUGAGAGACGGAUGUUGUAUAAAGGAGGCGCUCGCGUGUGCUCAACGCCACUCUUCCUCCCUCCUACACGGUGAUCAAUGGCUUUCCCAUCUGUUUCGCCUUUGUUUCUCUUUUUUUUCGAUGGGCUCUUUCGCUAUCUAUGCCACCUGAUGCCUCCGCAAGGCACUAGGUGAAGGAGAAACAGCUCCUUUAUUUCCUGCUUUCCUCUGGUCCCUCAUCUUGCUGGGGGACGUUGCAUACGCAACGAGGCGAGGGGAUGGACCCGAGGCUGCAGAGGAUGUAGGAGUCUACCGCCCUCCUACCACAGUUCACCCCCCCUCCCUCCGCUGCUGCUUUCUCUGCUCUUGAUACCGGGGAAGUGUCCGCACUGCUGCUCGGCUGUGCUGCGCGUGCGUGUGUCGGCCUCUGUGUGUGCAUGUGUGUGCGGUUGUGUCUGGUAUCAUUUGCAGGAGAAGGCGUUCCCUUUUUUACCCCCCUUUCUGGCGUGUCCCUAAGCGGCUUCCGUUUUUCUCUCUUCCGGCUCCGACUCUCUUCGUCCCCGCAUCUCUCCUGUCUUUCCUUUUUAUUUUCGUUGUGCAUAUCCGAUGACUCUAGUGUCAGAGGCGAGUAAACGAAGUGGGGGAUGGGGAGGGUGUGGAUGUCGAGGUGAGAGGUCGAGAAGGAAAAGAUAUACGAGAAUCAGUGAAAGGGAUUUAUGUGUGCGUCCAUAUCCUAAUAAGGAGGCCACGCUACAGAGAGCGCAGGCAGCUCUGCCGUUGGCGCGCAUCUCGACAGAUACCGUGCCUCCAGUAUGGUGAAGCUGCUCCUUCCCUCCCCUCCUCCUCCGUCCCUCACCCCCCUUCUCUCCACACACAGACACACACUUUUGACUCGAUUCGUUUUCCUUUCCCCGUCUCUUCUGGCUCACGUAUAAUCUGCAUAGCACUGUGUUCUCUCUCUUCAACGAGUGUGCACCCAAACUCUUUCUAUCCUUUGCGUGACUGUUCGGCCUUUGUUUGAUGUUUUCCCUUUUUCCCCUUUUCCUGGUUUUCCUCUUCGUCUCGGAUGGCUUCUGCGUGUUCCGAUGUCUCACGCUUUCCCUCGCUUCUCCCCCUUUCCCACUGCAUCUCCCUACGGUUGCUUGGACUUCAUUUGGAUUGCGUCGUCUUCUGCUCACUCCCCCGUGCUCUCUUUUUCCCUUUCAUGUGUUUUGCUGGGACGCGCCAGUUGCGUCAUGCAGAACAGAUAGGAAGAUGACAAGCCAGGGGGGAGGCAGAGCUCGAGAAGAGGCGCAGAAAUGCAACUGCGCAUGUGCGCAUUUGUGCCUGCCGGACAGGAUACAGGAGGAGCGAGGGGGGAUCGUGGUAGACCAGGUCUGGACGUCUUCGCUUCGGAAACGGACUUGCUCGAUGCUGAAGCAGUGCCAUUGAGAGAGAACAAAAAUUUGAGCCCCCUCAAGAAAGGAACGAAUCAAGGGCCAAGGAUGACUGGCGGGGAGAGGGUGGAGCUGUCUGUGAAGGUAGAGCCAGGGGGCUGUGGAUGGGAGGAUGUCACACGAAAGAAAAAAGAGGGAGCGCGUGGGCGGGGCGGGGGAGGGAGGAGGGAAUACUAGGUUCGCUUGCGUGCACUGAACUGUCAGAUGAGCUUGCUGCCUUUUUCAUCUUAAGUUGUUCGUUUGUGCGCCUCACGGCUUCAUCGCUUUACUUUAUUGCUCCGCACUGCUGCCGGCCCUCCCUAUGUCCACUUCUCACUCAGUCGCCUGUCGCACCGGAUGGACGACCAUCUAAGCCUUGGCUCCGUCAGCCGCCACGAACGUGUUUCUAUUCUCUUUAUAGCCUAUUUUCUUAGUUUCUCGUUCGCGUCUCUUCCUCGGGCCUUCUUUGCCUCUUGUGCGCCUGUGGAGGUACCUGUCUGUGCACAUGCGCAUAUAUCCAUAUAUGCCCAUGCCUAAAUAUAUAUAUAUAUAUAUGCGUGUGAGCGGCGUGCCGGAAGGUGAGCCGUAUGAGCUCGCAAUCGGGGCGGUAGCGCUUGCCUUUACGACUUUUAAGCGCGUCCCCGACGAGCAGCAGAAGGGCAAGAGACGACACGUCUAACGAACAAAAAGAGCGAAAAAGAACAACUUGUCGCGUACUCUUUUACAGCUUUUGCUUCUAAUCGUCAACGCACGCGUUUCCGGUGAAGCCUACCGUGUGCGCGGUGUUCGCUCGUGGCGGUGGAGUGGAG